Molecule: RNase P RNA, 372 nt
Filed under: Candidatus Nephrothrix sp. EaCA
Lineage: Bacteria; Pseudomonadati; Bacteroidota; Cytophagia; Cytophagales; Cytophagaceae
Description: RNase P RNA component class A
Rfam family: Bacterial RNase P class A
About the family: Ribonuclease P (RNase P) is a ubiquitous endoribonuclease, found in archaea, bacteria and eukarya as well as chloroplasts and mitochondria. Its best characterised activity is the generation of mature 5'-ends of tRNAs by cleaving the 5'-leader elements of precursor-tRNAs.
Source: RNAcentral
UGCGCAAGUCGUCUUAUCGCUCCGAGCAAUCGGAGAGGAAAGUCCGGGCAACACAGAGCAUCGUACUUCCUAACAGGAAGGGUCAGGAAACUGAUACAGACAGUGCCACAGAAAAUAGACUACCUCAAAGCAAUUUGAGGAAAAGGUGAAAAGGCGGGGUAAGAGCCCACCGCUCCCAAAGCAAUGCGGGAGGCACGGCAAACCUUACGAGUUGAAAGGCCAAAUAGGUUCCGGAGGGUUGCUCGCCCGUGGAUAAUAUCCGUCGGAAUUGGGUAGGCUGCUAGACUUUGCUUGUGAAAGCAAAGCCAGAUAAAUGAUAGGAGUUCCCGUAAAAAAGGAAUACAGAACCCGGCUUACAGGCUUGCUUUUUGA